AUAUUCGUUUUCCUUUCAAGUGCGAUCGAACGGUCCUGAUUUCAUCUGAUUGUGCAGUUCAGAUUCGUUUUCCCAUAUAGGAUUGAUCCAACAGCCAAGAAUGAGUCACAUCUCUUCGAAUGGAUGGCCCGGAUUUAAUGAAGAGGAGUAUUUAAACUCCUCUUCCAUAAGAAACCCUAACCCUGGCUGCCAAGAGUGA
Molecule: long non-coding RNA, 199 nt
Filed under: Carica papaya (papaya)
Lineage: Eukaryota; Viridiplantae; Streptophyta; Magnoliopsida; Brassicales; Caricaceae
Description: long non-coding RNA (CPAP_LNC004638)
Source: RNAcentral